GAUAAACGCUGGCGGCGUGCUUAACACAUGCAAGUCGAACGAAGUUUUUCUUUCGGGAGGAACUUAGUGGCGGACGGGUGAGUAACGCGUGGGUAACCUGCCCUGUACAGGGGGACAACAGCUGGAAACGGCUGCUAAUACCGCAUAAGCCCUUAGCACUGCAUGGUGCAUAGGGAAAAGGAGCAAUCCGGUACAGGAUGGACCCGCGUCUGAUUAGCCAGUUGGCAGGGUAACGGCCUACCAAAGCGACGAUCAGUAGCCGAUCUGAGAGGAUGUACGGCCACAUUGGGACUGAGACACGGCCCAGACUCCUACGGGAGGCAGCAGUGGGGAAUAUUGCACAAUGGAGGAAACUCUGAUGCAGCGACGCCGCGUGAGUGAAGAAGUAUUUCAGUAUGUAAAGCUCUAUCAGCAGGAAAGAAAAUGACGGUACCUGACUAAGAAGCACCGGCUAAAUACGUG
RNAcentral lists this ribosomal RNA (462 nucleotides) under uncultured bacterium. RNAcentral describes it as "partial 16S ribosomal RNA". It matches the Rfam family "Bacterial small subunit ribosomal RNA", at positions 28 to 507 of the family's 1533-position model. The record is from RNAcentral.